Molecule: long non-coding RNA, 864 nt
Organism: Mesocricetus auratus (golden hamster)
Lineage: Eukaryota; Metazoa; Chordata; Mammalia; Rodentia; Cricetidae
Exons: 2
Source: RefSeq, a predicted model, not a curated record
GAAGAGCUCAAUACUAAAUUGGUUUGUGUCCAUGGGAGAAGGUGGGUGAGGAGUGGAAAGCAAAGAUAGCACUCAGCAAUGAGCUCAAGAAGCAAAAGCAAGAGCAGAUGUUCCCAAGGUUCUUCUGGGAGGAGACAGAUUGAACGGGGAACAGUGAGAAGCCCAGGGGCUGAAAGCCCCAGUCACCAGCGACCAGCAGCAAAGGCAGGCUCCGUGAACGGAGCAGGAGAAGCCUGCCUCCCGCAGCUCAACAACGCACAGGUCAAACUAGAGACUCCAAAGAGAAGCUCCAGAAACAGGAGACACCAGGAAACUAAGACUAACUAUUUUUCGAAAAGCAAGAGAAGCAAGAGAAGAUAGAGUCUAUGCAGCAGGAGCACGGAAAAGACGGGGCUGGCGCAAGAAACUUGUGGGAUGGGCCUUUGAAGACUUAGAAAAGGGUGCAGAUAAAAAUAAGCGAAUGAGAGGAGGCACGACAAGAGAAAAGAAGGCCCUGUAUGGCUAUCUAAUGUAGCAGUGAAAGGAAGAAAUGGCUCAGGAGAAAAUGGGACAGACCACUAGAGGACACAAAGGCAGAGAAGGUGGAUGAGGAGGGUCAGGAGCCGGCACGUAGAAGGCAGGCAAGGACGGAACUCAAGAACGAGGAAAUCAGAAGAGACAUCAGAUUCUGUGGAACUGGAAUUAUAGACAGCUGUGAACUGACAAUGUGGGUGAUAAGAAUUAAACUUCGGCCCUCUGGAAGAACAGCAAGUGAUUGAACCAUCUCUCCCAUUUCUUGUCCUCUUCUGCUCUUCUUACUAUAGUUUGCUGAAUCUUCAAUCUUGCUCAAUUUAAGAAUAAAAAUGAAUGAUCCUCCUGCUUCAC